UCAAGUGACUAAGUGCAUGCGGCGGAUGCCUUGGCGAUCACAGGCGAAGAAAGACGCGGCAGCCUGCGAAAAGCUGCGGGGAGCUGGCAAACGAGCUUUGAUCCGCAGAUAUCUGAAUGGGGGAACCCACACCGCAAGGUGUAUCCGUAGCUGAAUACAUAGGUUACGGAGGCGAACGAGGAGAACUGAAACAUCUAAGUAUCCUCAGGAAAAGAAAUCAACCGAGAUUCCGGCAGUAGCGGCGAGCGAACCCGGAGGAGCCUAGCUUUUGAUAGUACGAACUUUAGCCGAAAGGUCCUGGAAAGGCCUGCUAUAGUGGGUGAUAGUCCCGUAGGCGAAAGAGUUGGUACGGUACUAAGGAAGCGAGAAGUAGAGCGGGACACGUGGAAUCCUGUUCGAAGACGGGGGGACCAUCCUCCAAGGCUAAAUACUCGUGAUCGACCGAUAGUGAACCAGUACCGUGAGGGAAAGGCGAAAAGAACCCCGGGAGGGGAGUGAAAUAGAACCUGAAACCGCAUGCAUACAAACAGUAGGAGCCUCGUCAGAGGUGACUGCGUACCUUUUGCAUAAUGGGUCAGCGACUUACAUUCUGUGGCGAGCUUAACCGAAUAGGGGAGGCGCAGCGAAAGCGAGUUCGAAAUGAGCGUUCAGUCGCAGGGUGUAGACCCGAAACCAGAUGAGCUAUCCAUGGCCAGGUUGAAGGUGUGGUAACACACACUGGAGGACCGAACCGACUAGUGUUGCAAAAUUAGCGGAUGAGCUGUGGAUAGGGGUGAAAGGCCAAACAAAUCUGGAGAUAGCUGGUUCUCCCCGAAAACUAUUGAGGUAGUGCCUCGUGUGUCGCUCCAGGGGGUAGAGCACUGUUUUGGCUAGGGGGACAUGGAGUCUUACCAAACCAAGGCAAACUCCGAAUACCUGGAAGCGUGAGCACGGGAGACAGAGCACCGGGUGCUAACGUCCGGACUCAAAAGGGAAACAACCCAGACCGCCGGCUAAGGUCCCAAAUAACAGCUAAGUGGAAAACGAAGUGGAAAGGCCGUGACAACCAGGAAGUUGGCUUAGAAGCAGCCAUCCUUCAAAGAAAGCGUAAUAGCUCACUGGUCGAGUCCUUCUGCGCGGAAGAUGUAACGGGGCUAAGCUGUUAACCGAAGCCGCGGAUGCACUGGUUAUCCAGUGCGUGGUAGGGGAGCGUUCUGUAAGUCUGCGAAGGCGGUUCGAGAGGACUGCUGGAGAUAUCAGAAGUGCGAAUGCUGACAUGAGUAACGUUAAAGCAGGUGAAAAGCCUGCUCGCCGUAAGCCCAAGGAUUCCUGCUCUACGUUCAUCGGAGCAGGGUGAGUCGGCUCCUAAGGUCAGGCCGAAAGGCGUAGCCGAUGGGAAUCAGGUUAAUAUUCCUGAACCUGCGUCAGAUGCGAUGGGGGGACGGAGCAUGGAAGAUCAUCCGGGUGUUGGAAGUCCCGGUUGUUUAGCGUAGGAGGUCUGCAGGCAAAUCCGCAGACGCAUCUCCAAGGCAAAGACACGUGCCGCCACGGCGGCGAAGUGAUCGGAAGUGCUUCCAAGAAAAGCCUCUAAGCACCAGUCUGAUGCGGACCGUACCGCAAACCGACACUGGUGGGCGAGCUGAAUAUGCUCAGGCGCUUGAGAGAACUCGGGAGAAGGAACUCGGCAAAUUGACACCGUAACUUCGGAAGAAGGUGUGCCGUAGUACCGUGAGAGGAGAGACACCUUGAGCGGGAAACGGUCUCAGAGAAUAGGUGGCUGCGACUGUUUAUUAAAAACACAGCACUCUGCAAAGUCGAAAGACGACGUAUAGGGUGUGAUGCCUGCCCGGUGCUGGAAGAUUAAUUGAUGGGGUGAGAGCCCUUGAUCGAAGUCCCAGUAAACGGCGGCCGUAACUAUAACGGUCCUAAGGUAGCGAAAUUCCUUGUCGGGUAAGUUCCGACCUGCACGA
RNAcentral lists this ribosomal RNA (1949 nucleotides) under human gut metagenome. RNAcentral describes it as "bacterial LSU rRNA". It matches the Rfam family "Bacterial large subunit ribosomal RNA", at positions 3 to 1995 of the family's 2925-position model. The record is from RNAcentral.